GGAUCGAUGAUGAUACCCUUGUAUGCAUUCCUUGGAAAAUCUGAACAAGAUGAGUGAGAAACACUCUACCGUCUCCUCAUCGAGUCUGAGGUCC
Molecule: small nucleolar RNA, 94 nt
Filed under: Phocoena sinus (vaquita)
Lineage: Eukaryota; Metazoa; Chordata; Mammalia; Artiodactyla; Phocoenidae
Description: Small nucleolar RNA SNORD116 (ENSPSNG00000008371.1)
Rfam family: Small nucleolar RNA SNORD116
About the family: HBII-85 is a member of the C/D class of snoRNAs, which contain the C (UGAUGA) and D (CUGA) box motifs. HBII-85 is encoded in a tandemly repeated array with another C/D snoRNA, HBII-52, in the Prader-Willi syndrome (PWS) region of chromosome 15.
Source: Rfam by way of RNAcentral